GAGGACACGGGGUCUCACGGCUGUGCUGUCACUCUGUGCCCCCCCAGGGCUGAUGGUGGCUCCAAAUCGGCCGCGGUGGCACCGGGAGGCGGUGGGUGAGAGCCCCAGGGCUGAGGUGACACGAGGAACCCAUCGGAUCACGGGGAUGGGGGCUGAGCUGCAGCAUGGCGUGUCCCCACUGUGUCCAGUUGUUGUCACCACCACCUCGGGGGUGACACCGGAGCGGGUGAUGGAGGACGGGGUGACACAGGAUGGGGCGUUGGCGUGGGACAACGAGGUGACACAACAGCACAGGGACACCCAGGGGGACAUGGGGGUC
Phasianus colchicus (ring-necked pheasant) is the source of this 319-nucleotide non-coding RNA. The record is from RefSeq and is a predicted model, not a curated record. NCBI's taxonomy places the organism in Eukaryota, Metazoa, Chordata, Aves, Galliformes, Phasianidae.